CUUUGAACAGAGGUGUUUGACAUGCAUACCGACUGUUCGUGCCACCUCCAUGUUGCCAGCAGGAUCGGGGGCACCUUUAGGGAGAAAACACAUUUGAAUAACCUUCGUUCACAAUGCUACCACGCAACAAUGGUGACGUUUGAACAUUUCCUGCUCAGCAUUACUUGGCAAUGAAUCAGGGUUGUGGCUAAAGCGAUGUAAAAGCUUUCCACAAUUAUCACUGGAAGAAUAGACCCAUGCUGCACAACAUGGCACCGCAAACAUAACAUGAGCUCAAGCAUGAGGAUACAAGGUGUUCUCUGUGUCUAAGAAGAUAACCUUCCCGCCUGAGUAGCCUUCUUCUCCUGGUAGCUGAGCUGUGACUGGAC
Molecule: long non-coding RNA, 368 nt
Organism: Nerophis ophidion (straightnose pipefish)
Lineage: Eukaryota; Metazoa; Chordata; Actinopteri; Syngnathiformes; Syngnathidae
Exons: 3
Source: RefSeq, a predicted model, not a curated record